AUACGGAGGGGGCAAGCGUUGUUCGGAAUUACUGGGCGUAAAGGGCGCGUAGGCGGACGAUCAAGUCAGGGGUGAAAGGCCUGGGCUCAACCUGGGAAUUGCCUUUGAAACUGAUUGUCUAGAGUCCGGAAGAGGAUGGCGGAAUUCCCAGUGUAGAGGUGAAAUUCGUAGAUAUUGGGAAGAACACCGGUGGCGAAGGCGGCCAUCUGAUCCGGAACUGACGCUAAGGCGCGAAAGCGUGGGGAGCAAACAGGAUUAGAAACCCCGGUAGUCC
RNAcentral lists this ribosomal RNA (274 nucleotides) under uncultured bacterium. RNAcentral's name for it is "partial 16S ribosomal RNA". It matches the Rfam family "Bacterial small subunit ribosomal RNA", at positions 523 to 796 of the family's 1533-position model. The record is from RNAcentral.